Molecule: ribosomal RNA, 107 nt
Filed under: Finegoldia magna
Lineage: Bacteria; Bacillati; Bacillota; Tissierellia; Tissierellales; Peptoniphilaceae
Description: partial 16S ribosomal RNA
Rfam family: Bacterial small subunit ribosomal RNA
Source: RNAcentral
UUAAAUUGAGAGUUUGAUCCUGGCUCAGGACGAACGCUGGCGGCGUGCUUAACACAUGCAAGUCGAACGGGAUUUAGUAAACAGAAGCUUCGGUGGAAGAUUACUAA